Molecule: ribosomal RNA, 468 nt
Filed under: uncultured bacterium
Lineage: Bacteria
Description: partial 16S ribosomal RNA
Rfam family: Bacterial small subunit ribosomal RNA
Source: RNAcentral
GACGAACGCUGGCGGCGUGCUUAACACAUGCAAGUCGAACGGAAAGGCCCUGCUUUUGUGGGGUGCUCGAGUGGCGAACGGGUGAGUAACACGUGAGUAACCUGCCCUUGACUUUGGGAUAACUUCAGGAAACUGGGGCUAAUACCGGAUAGGAGCUCCUGCUGCAUGGUGGGGGUUGGAAAGUUUCGGCGGUUGGGGAUGGACUCGCGGCUUAUCAGCUUGUUGGUGGGGUAGUGGCUUACCAAGGCUUUGACGGGUAGCCGGCCUGAGAGGGUGACCGGCCACAUUGGGACUGAGAUACGGCCCAGACGCCUACGGGAGGCAGAAGUGGGGAAUAUUGCAGAAUGGGCGGAAGCCUGAUGCAGCAACGCCGCGUGCGGGAUGACGGCCUUCGGGUUGUAAACCGCUUUCGCCUGUGACGAAGCGUGAGUGACGGUAAUGGGUAAAGAAGCACCGGCUAACUACGUG